Long non-coding RNA from Caenorhabditis elegans, 258 nucleotides. Ensembl annotates it as ncRNA. Its record names the gene K07C10.8. Lineage: Eukaryota; Metazoa; Nematoda; Chromadorea; Rhabditida; Rhabditidae. The record is from Ensembl.
GGCUGGAGCCACCGCUCCUGCACUCUCCUUUUAUCUAUAUUUAUUCUCUAUCUUAUAUUUAUACUUUUAUAUAUAAACUUAUAUUUAAUCACUCAUAAUGCUGGACCUGAAGCGGAGAAGGCAGUAAGAAUGAACAUGUGCAGCCAAGGAUAACGAAAAGGAACAGUUAAGUUGUAUAUGAUACAUUAUAAUAUUCUUUGUUCCAUUAUGAAUAAACCAUUGAUGAAUAAAUUUUGAUAUAAAAACAAAUUUUAUUAU